CCCCCCGCUUCCGGUGGUGGCCAGCCACCCUGGGGGCUCAUUGACUUACAGUUACAGCACUUUAGCCUCUGGGUCUGUCCCCACGUGGCCGUCCUCUCCAGUGUGUCUGCGUGUCUCUCCUGAUAAGGACACCACUCAUUCAGGGCCUACUCUGCUCCAGUGUGACCUCAUCUCAACUAAUGACACCGCCAAUGGCCCUGUCUCCAAAUAAGGUCGCAUUCCCAGGUCCUGGGGGUUAGGACUUGAACAUAUCUUUGGGGGGCACAGGUCAGCCCACAGCAGGCCUGUCAGCCGUGGCCUUUCACUAGAGGUGACAAGAGCAGAGGCCGGGGAGGCCGGAGGCAGCAGUGCGGGGAAUAUAGAGGCGUGCGGUCCCAUGCGGGGCCCAGGCCCACCCAGCAGACCUCAAACCUGCUUUGCAAACUCUCGACCGGAAGGGUGGUUGAUUGAGCAGAAUUCAGUUCAUAGUGGAGAGGUAGUUUGGAAGAAGGGAGGAUGGUCUUGCUUACUUAAAGGUUCCUAAAAGUGGGGAGGCUGGGAUGCUUCAGAGGUUCCCUCGUUUUGUCCGAGGAGCAGCCUGGGCCCCUGGGCAGAACCGUGGACCCCAGGCCCCCAGCAGCUCUGCUCCUGUUUCUCUUUCCAUUUGUGCAGCUGCCUCUCUGGGUCCAAAUCAAGGUGGGUUCCUUGUGCAUAUCACUUGUUCCUCAGUCUUUUCUUUUUGGUGGCAAAAUACACGUAAAAUCGAUCAUCUCUAUUAAUAAGUAGGAAGUAAAACAUUGCAACGCAGCUGCCAGCGAUGGGCGGCGUAGAGGAAGUUGCUCCUUGCUGCUGCGUCUGGGUAGCUGUGCCUCCUGGACCCCAGGCUCUUCCAGCAGUUUCCAUGAACAAGAUGGACACCCCAGCCCCCGAGCUCUGCUCGCAACUGGCCAAGCCUGUAAACAGAGAUAAUGCCAGCACUGGGCCACGGAUGCUGUGCGUAGCCGCCUGUGGAGGUUCCUUUCUCCCUAUGUGUUAAUACAAACAAUAGGCUGAAAAUGUAAUUACCACUGCUGACUUCAUUAAGAGCAGCUCUGAAGGUUACUCCUCGGUCCUGGGGUAGAAAAGACUGGAUUGGGGCCAUCUGUCCUCGCCAGCCCUGUGGUGGACCUCGCCGUUGGCUGCCCCAGGAAGCCAGUUUCAUCAGCCCCAUUUUGCAGGCACCGAACUGAUCUUGGGGAGGGGGAUGGGGGCCUCCCCUAGGCUGCCCCAUCAGCCAGGGGCCAUGGCAGGACUUGAACUUGGGGGAUUGGCACCCACGUGCCCCUGGGGCCUUCCCAGAGGGUCCAGGCCCGGAGCCAACUUCCUGGGUUCAGGCUCUUUGGCUGUUUGAUCUUGGGCAGUUUAUCUAAGCUCUGUGUCUUCAUUUGCACAUCUGGACAAAACCAGGCGCUUCUUGGCAACCGGCAUGUUUCAGAAAAUCCGUGGGUUCUUCUUUCUCUCCUUCCUCCUCACUGAAGAUGAACUGCCGCCUGGUGACGAGCCCCUCCCGCCUUGGCAGUCUUGCCCCAGGGCAUCCCCACAGAGGAGGCUCUUUCUUGCUCCCACGUGGGACACAACAGAUGGGCGGCCAAUUCGCAGGACAAAGCAGAAGGCAGCUGGGAUGGGUGAGCCUGUGGACAUGCGAUGAAGGCCAGGGGAGGGUUCACAGCGGGGUCACUCAGAGCAGCCUCGGGAAACAGACCAGACUGAAAACUGCUCGACGCAACUGGGGUUCCCGGCGUUCCCGGCGUGGAGCACAAUGCCCGGGAACCCGGAGACUGGGGCACCCGCGGCCGGAGUGGAGUCAUUGCCUGCCCCGGGCUUCCCACGGUGCUCAGACCCUAGCACGCACGCUCCUGAGUCUCUGAACUGGACGCCCAGAUGGAGCAUGGAAAGGAGGUGCUUCCCUCGGCCACUCAGCCCUGCGUCUCAGGUCACUGCGGCACAGGGGCCUCCUCCUGCCCCCACCUUGCCCAGCCCAGCUCCUCUCCUCGCUGACCUCGGAGAAUGACGAAACCGGUGGUCCCUCCCACAGCGGGUGCUGGGACUGAGGCCCCCAGGUGGGGAGGCUGAUGGCGGCCCCCCUUCCCCUCCCCUAUUGGCUGAAUUGUGCGUUGUGGGGUGCACUGCUGCUCCUGGGGUCGGGGUACAGGUGGGGAUACGUUGGCCCUGCUACCCACAGGCCAGUGGAAGCAGCUCCUGGCCUUAGUCACGGGACCUGAGGAUGCAUUUUUUUGACAGAGGGGUUCUCCAUCUCCCUACCUCCAACAUGGCACUGAAUCAGGGCAGUGGGUCCAGCCAGGUCCAGCCUGGAGGUGGGGGCUGGGGGCCAUCUCUAGGUGGAGAUGCAGGGGUCCUUUGCUGAGAGUUCACGCCCAGAGUGUGGCUGGCAUGAGGGAGCACCCCUGCCUCCCUGGGAGAGCAGGUGACAGCUCCUCGGGGUGGGAUCUGGGGCCCACGUGCCGCCUCCGGGGAGUGUGGGCUGGCAACAUGCCGCAUCAGCCUAGAACUCCCUCUGAGAGGUGACACCAGCGGGCAACCAGGACUGCAGGACGAGCAGCCUGGGAGACGACCCCCGCCCCACAUCACAGCCCAGGCUGGCCAGGACCGCUGGGCUCCCCUGGGGGUCUACUCCAGCCUGGCAAGAGAGUUUGCAAUUCAGGGGCUGCUUGUAAGGGCUUCUGCAUCCUCCCAGGACCGUCAAAUCUGGGGUCAUCAGGCUGAAUGGCGCCUGGCUGGUUCACAAAGCCGAGAAGCUGUGGCAGCCUCCUCGGGGCUAAAGAGAGACUUUCCUGGUGCUGGAAACCUGUUGGGCUCAGGGUGCGUGUGACCCAGGAGCUGGCUCUCCCUCCUCCACCUGCUGCAGAAAGGACGUUUCACAUCACCUGCUGAUUUAAUGAGAGGUCUCUGUCUGUCUGCCCCAGGCUUCCUUUUCUUCAUGCUGUCUUAGAUCUCCAUCCAUUUCACAAAACACUGAUUUGUCAGACAUUACCCUCAUUUUAAAUUAUAUAUAUUGGUUUAAACAUAAUCCACCUUCCCUUUCCGAUCCCAUUAGCUUAUAAAAGCAUUAGCAAACUGUCACACGUUUAAAUGAGCGUGUAAUGGGUAUCGGCUUUAAUUGUCAGCACCUAAGUGGCCAUUACAACCAAGUGUUUUGCCUCAUAAGUCAGGUAAGCCCCUCACCCUCCAAGGAAAAAUGCUUGAGACUUGGCUGCUGCAAGCUUAUAGCCAAAUUUGCAUCCCCUGGAAACACACAUAUAAGACACUGGUAUUUUGAUCAACCUUAAGUGGUGUUUGUUUGUUUGUUUGUUUUGGUAGGAAAAUAUACAUAGCAUCCGAUGUGUCAUUUUAACCAUUUUUUUAAAGUGUCCAGUUCUGUGGAAUCAGAAACAUUCACACUGUUGUGCAGCCAUCACCACCGUCCAUCUCCAGAAAUUUCUCAGCAUCUUCAGCUGAAAUUCUGCACCAAUUAAGCAGUAACUCCCCAGCCCCCGCCCCCAGCCCCUGGCAGCCCCCAUUCUACUUUCUGUCUCCAUGAACUGGACCCUCUAGGUCCCUCAAGUAAGUGGCUCAUACAGUAUUUGUCCUUUUGUGUCUGGCUUAUUUCACUCAACAUAACCGAGGUUUGGCCAUGUUGUAGCGUGUGUCAGAAUUUCCUUCUUUUUUCCAUGCUGAGCAAUAUUCCAUCGUGUGUUUACAACACAUUUUUUUUAUCCAUUCAUCAGUCGACGGACAUGGGUGGUUUCCACCUCUGGGCUGUUGCAGAGAGUACUUGUGCUGGGGGUGGGGCUUGGUUUUGUUUUACGUUCCAGUCCUCGUGUUUUCCUUUCUCUUCCUCAGCCGCUGAAAUCCAAGGGUUCUUACCUGUUUUAGGGGGUCACCAACCCAUUCAAGAAUGUCAAACAGUUUAGGUCCUCUCCCAUUGAAAAAGUUAAGUACGGCACGCCCACAAGCACUGCGUCCUUGCACCACAGGUUAAUCUCUGCUGUGGAUAAGCACUGUCUCCCCGGAAGCUGAAAAUCAGCGGUUUUCAAAUCAGAACCUGGUUGAAAUGCUGAGUAAAGCAAACCAUCGCUUCUGGCUUGACAGUUUUAGAAAGUGAGUGGCUGUGUCUGGAACUUCCCGGCUGUGGGCGCAACAGCAAGAAGGGUACAGAGUGUCUCGGGGGCCCUGGGGGUCAGGGGCAGAGCGCAUGGUCGUGUCCCAGACGCAGAGAGGUCAGCGGCAGUGUGUGGAGGGAAGGGCGUUUGCAGGGGACGUGCGCCCGGGCAGGAGGCAGAAGCCCCUCCCUCGUUCUAGGCAGGAGUCUCCCCAUGCUGGCCUCUUGCCUCCAGACCUUGGCUGCAAGGCCCCAGCCCGAAGCACCAACACUUUCCCAUGAUCCCAGGAAUCAGCUCUGGAGCUGGAGAUCCUCAUUUCCAAUCUCACUGCAUGUAAAGUUGUGUUCCAGGAGAGGCUUCGGCCGGACAGGAUGCGGUACUACCCGGCGGGGCUGCAGGAGCGCCAAGACCAGCCAGCAUCAGGAUCGUCUGCUGCGGCGGGGAGUGUUUCCUACAAAUUGGCCACGUCUGAGCAGCAGAUCUGAACAAGAUCCCACUGGGUUACACGCAGAGCUGUGGCUGAGCUGACGCUGGACACCCAGGGGUGCUCGGGGACUCGUGCCCGAUGUCCAGGCAUAAAGAUGGGAGGAAAGAGCUUCUACUGCGUCCCUCUCCAAGGUGAUGGCCGUUUAGACCCGACGGCCAACGGCUGCUCCAUUUUUCCAGUGGUUACUGCAGGACAGUGAUAACAGAAAUUUUCAUGUUCUGAGAUAUAGAGAAAAGAGCACGCUGACCGGAAGUAAAGAAAGUCCAUGUUAAAAAUCCAGAUUAAAUGCCGCCCUUCCCGGGACGCCAGUGCUGGUCCUCCUUUGAUGAUGAGACCCCCCUCCCCGGGUGCGGAGGCCACGCUCACUCACCCUGUACA
Vicugna pacos (alpaca) is the source of this 4983-nucleotide non-coding RNA. NCBI's taxonomy places the organism in Eukaryota, Metazoa, Chordata, Mammalia, Artiodactyla, Camelidae. The record is from RefSeq and is a predicted model, not a curated record.